Molecule: ribosomal RNA, 461 nt
Filed under: uncultured bacterium
Lineage: Bacteria
Description: bacterial SSU rRNA
Rfam family: Bacterial small subunit ribosomal RNA
Source: RNAcentral
GAUGAACGCUGGCGGCGUGCUUAAUACAUGCAAGUCGAACGGAGACUGUAGCAAUACUGUCUUAGUGGCGAACGGGUGAGUAACGCGUUGGUGACCUGCCCCGAAGAGGGGGAUAACAGUCCGAAAGGAUUGCUAAUACCCCAUGUGGUCGUUUGGAUUAGAUGCCUUACGACUAAACGGAUUUAUUCGCUUCGGGAGGGGCCUGCGUCCCAUCAGCUAGUUGGUAGGGUAAUAGCCUACCAAGGCGAUGACGGGUAGGGGACCUGAGAGGGUGGCCCCCCACAAUGGAACUGAAACACGGUCCAUACACCUACGGGUGGCAGCAGUAGGGAAUAUUGGUAAUCUGGGAAACCGGGAACCAGCAACGCCGCGUGCGCGAUGAAGGCCUUCGGGUUGUAAAGCGCCUUUUAAAGGGAUGAGGAAGGACAGUACCUUUAGAAUAAGCCUCGGCUAACUACGUG